UCCCCUUUAUCAGCAGAUUCCUCAGCUAACAACAAACCCCACACCGGAGCACGGUCACCGUGACCCGUGUCACACUCAGAGUCGUCAUGCACUCCCGCUGGAACUACAGCUUUUGUUUCACAAUAAUCAGGUGUUCUGCUCUGUUUCACAUGUUCUGUCAUGGAGGGGGCGGAACAUCUUGACAAGAGACAGCUGGAUCCGGUGUUCAGUGACAGCUGAAUGAUGGCAGACGAUUCAUCUCAUCAAACAUGUAAGAUUGAGUGCCCUGUUGCUCUGAGCUGUCACAACAUCACCGACAUUGAUGGAGCGUGUUACAGAACAGUUAUUGACAUUUUGCAAAUCAGCAAUAUUCCAUGUUUGAGAUUGGAUUAGCGGUCUGAGACCGUUAUGCAAUAAAUUCUGUAUUGUGAA
Haliotis rubra (blacklip abalone) is the source of this 411-nucleotide long non-coding RNA. RefSeq lists it as uncharacterized. The transcript has 3 exons. Lineage: Eukaryota; Metazoa; Mollusca; Gastropoda; Lepetellida; Haliotidae. The record is from RefSeq and is a predicted model, not a curated record.